GGGGCGAUAGCUCAGUUGGGAGAGCGCCUGCUUUGCACGCAGGAGGUCAGGGGUUCGAACCCCCUUCGCUCCA
Molecule: transfer RNA, 73 nt
Filed under: Oscillochloris trichoides DG-6
Lineage: Bacteria; Bacillati; Chloroflexota; Chloroflexia; Chloroflexales; Oscillochloridaceae
Rfam family: tRNA
About the family: Transfer RNA (tRNA) molecules are approximately 80 nucleotides in length.
Source: Rfam by way of RNAcentral